GGCCUAUUGAGAGAAGAUUUUAGGUCUAACCUGCCCUCUGAAGUAUUUAAAUGGCCGCAGUAUUUUGACUGUGCUAAGGUAGCAUAAUAAUUAGUUUUUUAAUUGAAAGCUAGAAUGAAUGGUAUUAUGAAAAAAUUACUGUCUCUUUUAAAAAAUUAAAAUUUUAUUUUUAAGUUAAAAAGCUUAAAUAUUAUUAAAAGACGAGAAGACCCUAUAGAAUUUUAUUUAAAUUUAUUUUUAAUAAGUUAGUAUAUAAAAUUUAAAAAUAAAUUUAUAUUUAGUUGGGGUGAUUAGAAAAAUAAAGUAUCUUUUUUUUAUAUAAACAUUAAUUUAUGAUUUUAUGAUUCACAUUAGUGAUUUAAGAAUAAAUUACCUUAGGGAUAACAGCGUAAUUUUUUUUUAGAGUUCUAAUCAAAAAAAAAGAUUGCGACCUCGAUGUUGGAUUAAAAUUUAUUUUUGGUGUAGUAGCUAAAAUAUUAAGUCUGUUCGACUUUGAAAAUUUUACA
This 506-nucleotide ribosomal RNA is filed under the name Plateumaris shirahatai. RNAcentral's name for it is "partial 16S ribosomal RNA". The stretch from base 380 to 506 matches the Rfam family "Bacterial large subunit ribosomal RNA", at positions 2473 to 2600 of the family's 2925-position model. Lineage: Eukaryota; Metazoa; Arthropoda; Insecta; Coleoptera; Chrysomelidae. The record is from RNAcentral.